Choloepus didactylus (southern two-toed sloth) is the source of this 163-nucleotide small nucleolar RNA. RefSeq annotates it as small nucleolar RNA SNORA81. The transcript has a single exon. The record is from RefSeq and is a predicted model, not a curated record. NCBI's taxonomy places the organism in Eukaryota, Metazoa, Chordata, Mammalia, Pilosa, Megalonychidae.
AUCUUCUUAAACUCUGUGCUAAAAUAUCAUGUCUUAAUACUUGUAAUAAAGCUAGAAGAGUAAACACAAAAAGAAAAACAACUGCAUCAGGUAGUAAGAAAGAUUGAAAUGAACCUCUUUCUUAAUUCCAGGGUACUUUGUUCUAAGAUUUGGUACAACAAUA